Molecule: long non-coding RNA, 1582 nt
Filed under: Apteryx rowi (Okarito brown kiwi)
Lineage: Eukaryota; Metazoa; Chordata; Aves; Apterygiformes; Apterygidae
Description: lncRNA (ENSARWG00000015043.1)
Source: RNAcentral
GGCGAAGCAAAAAGUCAGAUGACAGAUUGUCAAGAAAAGGGCAAAGUUUAUGRUCCAAAGGUAGAAAGAAAGUAACAGAUUUUAAGUAUGCUGAAAGGUGCACUAGGUAGGAGAAGGAGAAAUAAUCUGGUCUCAGAGGUUGUGAUGGUUCUACAUGAUGGAAUAGACCAUGGAGCCUUCAGUUAUGCCAUAGAGACUAAAGAGUAGUUUGAAAACAAAAAUUAAGACUUUUUUUUUUCCCACAGUGUUGAUUAGAAUCUGAUGAUAAGAAAUCCAGAAUGAGUUCCUGCAAAGACCAGCUGUGAAGGUACAAAGGGGAACCAUGGCAGUUGAGGAUGAGUAGAGGACAUUCUUGAAAAUAGGGAAAAGAAAGCAAGAGGAGAAACAAAAAGCAAGUGCCAGAAGUGUAUCCUCAGCAUAAAAGGAAAAGAAAAAUCAAGACCUAAAAGAUCCUGCUUAAAAGCAGGUGUUGGAAUAUCUUGUGGGAGCUCUGCUUUGCACAUCACAACCUGGUUCUCCUCCAYGAAUCAGGAUCUACAACUGGAUGAUACCACCCAUAAAAACCCUUGACCAGUGAUUCCUGGGUAAACAUCUCUCCUCUCAUCAUGAGGAGACCAUGCUGAGAUCAUUUCAUCAGUAAAGAGAUGCAAAAUACAGGUUGUUUAACUCUCCAGCUUUCUGCUGAAAGACAGGACAGUUCAUAGGAGAAUGAUAGCAGUUUUAACUGAGGGACUGAAGAAUUGGAGACUGACAGUAAUGAGAAGAACUGAAGACUAUGGUGGCAUAAAGUAGCAGAGARGAAUAAAAGACAAAGGACAAUGAGGUGGAGAUUCAUUCUGAUAAGGGCAGAAGGCCAUGACCCCAGUGCAUGUCUCUCCUUCCCAGCAGGGACUGACAGGACGUGCCCUUCUCUUUGGAUUAGCUCAGGAAUUCUCCACCAGUGUUCCUCUCGCUGUGGUGUGCUAUCAAGCUACUCAGCACAAAUACCGAGAAGUCAUUCUUGUAAYAGGCAUCUGAGAGGAAAUGCUUACUCAGAGUGCCCCAUGUUUGGAGGAUAAUGUUGGAGAUGCUUGCCACAGAGAACAGUCACCGUAUGAAGUGGGGAUGUCUUCCUGAAAACAGACUGUACAUCAGGCAGCCCUUCUCUAGCAGCAGAAUACUUCUGUAGUUCACAGUUUGAGGAGCUGAUUACAGGAGAAGUUUGGCUGGUAUCAAAUGCUGUGUCAGUUUUACUUUCAUGCUUUAACUACGUUGCACUUAAUUAGGCUUUGUCCACUACCAUUUUAAAGGGCCAGGUGGUCACACAAUAGAAGGGAAAUUUUCUGGCUUUAGUAUGUGAGGUAUAAAUUAAAUAUCUUAUAGUUGUUGAACAUCUAUUGUAACUUAUGGACUGCACUUUCUCAUUCAUUAUAGGUGUGAACUAAACAAAUCUGGCUUUGACUCAAGUGAAUUUUGGCAUGUGUCAAUGCCCUACUGGCCUUUAGGCCUUUCACAAGCAUGUGAUUCCACAUUUUAUGUGGCUAUGUACUAGUGAACGGAAUGUUUAAAUAAAUAGCAAUUUGAGUCACUUAGUCUUGAAUCA